UACGUAGGUGGCGAGCGUUGUCCGGAUUUACUGGGCGUAAAGGGAGCGUAGGCGGACUUUUAAGUGAGAUGUGAAAUACCCGGGCUCAACUUGGGUGCUGCAUUUCAAACUGGAAGUCUAGAGUGCAGGAGAGGAGAAUGGAAUUCCUAGUGUAGCGGUGAAAUGCGUAGAGAUUAGGAAGAACACCAGUGGCGAAGGCGAUUCUCUGGACUGUAACUGACGCUGAGGCUCGAAAGCCAGGGGAGCAAACGGGAUUAGAUACCCCGGUAGU
Molecule: ribosomal RNA, 271 nt
Filed under: uncultured prokaryote
Description: partial 16S ribosomal RNA
Rfam family: Bacterial small subunit ribosomal RNA
Source: RNAcentral